ACCGAUUUCCGCGGGAGCUCGGGCCUGAGGCCGGGCUGAGAGGGCGCACCCGAUGGCGGCGCCGACCGCAUGAACCUGUCCGGGUAAUGCCGGCGUAGGGAGUGUGUUCCAUGGCGUC
Molecule: non-coding RNA, 118 nt
Filed under: Actinomadura sp.
Lineage: Bacteria; Bacillati; Actinomycetota; Actinomycetes; Streptosporangiales; Thermomonosporaceae
Description: TPP sequence
Rfam family: TPP riboswitch aptamer (THI element)
About the family: Vitamin B(1) in its active form thiamin pyrophosphate (TPP) is an essential coenzyme that is synthesised by coupling of pyrimidine and thiazole moieties in bacteria. The previously detected thiamin-regulatory element, thi box was extended, resulting in a new, highly conserved RNA secondary structure, the THI element, which is widely distributed in eubacteria and also occurs in some archaea.
Source: RNAcentral